GUUUUUAGUUUAGGGUAUAUGAUUGAUUUAAGAUUUAAAGCCGAUUUAGGAGUUCAUAUUUUAAGGUUUAGGGAGUAUGGAUUUAGGGGUUAUGAAUUAGGGAUUAUGGUUUAAGGGUUGGGAUGUAAGGUUUAGGGGUUAGGGGUUUAGGGGUUAGAUGUUAGGGGUUAAGAGUUAGGGAUUUAAGGUUUAGGGAUUCAGGGGUCGAGUUAAGGUUUUGAGUUUAGAUUAAUUAUUUUUUUAUUUAUAUUUUAAAUAUGUUCUUAUAUAAUUGUAAAAUAGAUAAUAAUAAUAAAUCAAAUAUAUUGAAAUUAUGAG
This 318-nucleotide long non-coding RNA is filed under the name Gossypium raimondii (Peruvian cotton). Its description in RNAcentral is "long non-coding RNA (GRAI_LNC003590)". Lineage: Eukaryota; Viridiplantae; Streptophyta; Magnoliopsida; Malvales; Malvaceae. The record is from RNAcentral.